Molecule: ribosomal RNA, 734 nt
Filed under: uncultured Aeromonas sp.
Lineage: Bacteria; Pseudomonadati; Pseudomonadota; Gammaproteobacteria; Aeromonadales; Aeromonadaceae
Description: bacterial SSU rRNA
Rfam family: Bacterial small subunit ribosomal RNA
Source: RNAcentral
UAACAGGAUUAGAUACCCUGGUAGUCCACGCCCUAAACGAUGCGAACUGGAUGUUGGUCUCAACUCGGAGAUCAGUGUCGAAGCUAACGCGUUAAGUUCGCCGCCUGGGGAGUACGGUCGCAAGACUGAAACUCAAAGGAAUUGACGGGGGCCCGCACAAGCGGUGGAGUAUGUGGUUUAAUUCGAUGCAACGCGAAGAACCUUACCUGGCCUUGACAUGUCUGGAAUCCUGCAGAGAUGCGGGAGUGCCUUCGGGAAUCAGAACACAGGUGCUGCAUGGCUGUCGUCAGCUCGUGUCGUGAGAUGUUGGGUUAAGUCCCGCAACGAGCGCAACCCUUGUCCUUAGUUGCCAGCACGUAAUGGUGGGAACUCUAAGGAGACUGCCGGUGACAAACCGGAGGAAGGUGGGGAUGACGUCAAGUCCUCAUGGCCCUUAUGGGUAGGGCUUCACACGUGCUACAAUGGCGCGUACAGAGGGCUGCAAGCUAGCGAUAGUGAGCGAAUCCCAAAAAGCGCGUCGUAGUCCGGAUCGGAGUCUGCAACUCGACUCCGUGAAGUCGGAAUCGCUAGUAAUCGCAAAUCAGAAUGUUGCGGUGAAUACGUUCCCGGGCCUUGUACACACCGCCCGUCACACCAUGGGAGUGGGUUGCACCAGAAGUAGAUAGCUUAACCUUCGGGAGGGCGUUUACCACGGUGUGAUUCAUGACUGGGGUGAAGUCGUAACAAGGUAACCA